CUAUGCAUGUGUGCAUCUAUCGCAUAAAUCAACAGAUGACGCCCACUCCGUCCCAAUCCUGUAACCCAAAUGCUAUCAUAGUUAAGAUAGUGAAUUUGGGCUACUGUUGACAUCAAUUAAACACAACUUCCUUCAAUUGCGCAUAUACUACGCCUACACGUAUACAGAGAAACAAGUCUCGCGGUCACUCUAAAUACGCAUUUACGUCUGCAGUAUUUUAGUUUUUAGCAUAAAUAUCAGUACAUUGCGUAUGUUAUUACUAUAUAUCAGGUGACCAGCAUAAACGAUGGCCGCUCGAUUCGUUGAUUCGUGCCCUGGACCACUCCAUCACUAGAAAUUUGUCUCGUCAACAAUUGGCCUAUUUCACAGAUCAACUGGCGUACGUUCCUUCUUUCUGUUUGACAAGUCACCUAGAGAAUCGUCACAAUAUUACCAGCACCGUCGCUGGUUCUUAUUGUUAAACCAAUUUGUUUCCGCACCGUCGAUGUGGCCCGCUUCCGCUGGUCUCGUCCCGCUGGUCUCGUCCCGCUUUUUUCGCAGCAUCUAACAAAUACUCGUUGACUGAUAAAGCGUAAAACAACGAAAGCGUCGAUGUCGACGGCCGCAGCAGCGGCAGCAUUGCAAACUACGAUCACGUUAAAUGAACUCGGAUGACGGAUACGCCGCUGUUUUCAUUGUUGCGCCCGCCGUCGUGCAGGACAAAAGCAUUCAGGCCGAGAUUCAGUGUCUCCGAUAGCAAACCCGCGACAGUUCUCACUGAUACGGGUCCAUGCGAUGUCGGGCUUUGCUCAAGCACCGACGGUCAUGGUGAAGACUCGUUUUUUAAAAUCAAAUCGAAUUUAACUCUCUCGGCAUCUGUGUUGGCUCAAGGUCGCAGCCACGGCGGCUUACGCUAAGACUUCGACGAGUACCAGGGGUAACGGUAGCUAGUCAGGUGACGUAAGGACCUGCCGAGAGGAGCUCCGGAUAGGAUGGGGCAAGCCGGAACAAGUAACGAAGCAAAUCGUUUGCUGUUUGUUAAGUGAUUGCGCGACAUUUUGAUUGCAUGGGUUAAAUCGUCGCAUUAGUCGGCACUUAACGACCAUGCUGAGUAGCAAAGCGAUGGGACUUCGUAGAUACUUUACUAUGAACAAGGUUUAAGCUCAUAAGAUGCUAAAAUGUCCGUUGGGUAUUUUGUCUAUUUAACCGUGAAUUAUGAAGACAGUAAUAACGGCGUAUUGGUUGACAGUUCCGUAUCGGCCAACGAUUCCUGCGUCAUCUACAGUGUAAACAUUCAGUUUAGUAACCGUUACAAUAGUCACAGACAACGAAGUAGCUUGAGUGAUUACAAAUUCUGCCAAUCAAAAUAACAGUGACUAUUUAUUUGCGAACGACAUCGUUGUAAGACAAACGAACGGCGGCGGGGAAACGCAGUCGCACUUCGGCCCAGGUUUGUCGUGUAAUGGCCCAGCAGCUGCAUAGGUGGACGGACAGCGGCGUUAUUGCUGCUGCUGCUGCUGCUGGUGUUGUUGUUGUUGCACAACAAUAACAGCAGCUGCGGGAGCGUGCGGCACGUCGGUAAUGCAAUUCGAGGCAUAGCAAAAGGACAAAAGGGUAACAGUAGCUGCAGCAGUACUAAGAGUUGUGCGAUUUGAUUGAAACGUAGAUUUACGAAGCACAGCUUCUGUACAAGUACAGGCACUGACGAUGGCAAAAUCUUGCGCGAAGAAGCGAAUAGUUCUUUGGUUCUUCGGUCGAAAGCUGCUUAAGACGAUCGUACAUUAGAAGUUAGCUGGCUUGGCUGGACCCGGUCGCUUUCAUAUAGCAGCGUCUAUUUACAAUUACGAUAAUUGCCCUGCGGCAUUGUGGCUACCCGCCUGACCAAGAUGUCUACCUAAUUGGCAUACACUGGAGCGGUGAUAGGUAAUUUCCACUUUUCUUUGACGGCUCAUUUUUAUGGAUGUAUAUCUCCUACAGUAUCAAUUGAACGCGACUGUCAAGGUGCGCCACGCGAUUUGCCCAGCUGACGAAUGCUGAACUAGCGCCAAUGUUAGUGAUUCAACUAGAUAGAAUCGCCUGAUAAGAGCAAAGUUAGCGUCGAGGCACCCGCUAACUGGGAACCCGAAAGGCCUGAGAAGUUGCAGUCGUAGAUCGAAGUUUUUUUACUUACCUAAUGGCGCUGGUAAAAACCAUUAUUAACCGAUAAUUAAUUUACUGUAUGAAUCGCUUGGAGUUUUUGAGCGAACCUCUAGAUACAAUUUCUAGUGCUCGUUCCACUGGCGCGCGCUUCUUGACUGUAUACGUGUUUGUUGGGUACGGUAUCGCUGGACGAGAGACACAGGAAGAGAGUUCGCCAUUGUCUCGAUCGUAAGAGGCCCAGAGGAAGGGGGCGAGAGGAACAAAAGACAGCACCACCGAUAAUAGUAUAACUCGGCGCACAUGUCCGCUUCGCGACUCGUCUACGCUUAACGACGACUUCGUGCUAGUGCUGGCUCAAUGCUAUCUCGCAUAUUGCUUCCUGUGUUUUGAAAAGUAGCGCGCUUACUCGAUUAUGUCUAUAGAUGUUGCCGUCAAUGCUCAUUGAUGCCAAAGAUUCGAAGUUGCCAAAUAAAGUUGUCGUUGAUCGCUA
Molecule: long non-coding RNA, 2608 nt
Filed under: Varroa destructor (honeybee mite)
Lineage: Eukaryota; Metazoa; Arthropoda; Arachnida; Mesostigmata; Varroidae
Description: uncharacterized LOC111252401
Source: RNAcentral